GAAUAUUGGACAAUGGGCGCAAGCCUGAUCCAGCCAUGCCGCGUGCAGGAAGACUGCCCUAUGGGUUGUAAACUGCUUUUAUACGGGAAGAAACACUCCGACGUGUCGGAGCUUGACGGUACCGUAAGAAUAAGGAUCGGCUAACUCCGUGCCAGCAGCCGCGGUAAUACGGAGGAUCCAAGCGUUAUCCGGAAUCAUUGGGUUUAAAGGGUCCGUAGGUGGACAAUUAAGUCAGAGGUGAAAUCCUGCAGCUCAACUGUAGAAUUGCCUUUGAUACUGGUUGUCUUGAGUCAUUAUGAAGUGGUUAGAAUAUGUAGUGUAGCGGUGAAAUGCAUAGAUAUUACAUAGAAUACCAAUUGCGAAGGCAGAUCACUAAUAAUGUACUGACACUGAUGGACGAAAGCGUGGGGAGCGAACAGG
This 420-nucleotide ribosomal RNA is filed under the name uncultured bacterium. RNAcentral's name for it is "bacterial SSU rRNA". It matches the Rfam family "Bacterial small subunit ribosomal RNA", at positions 359 to 776 of the family's 1533-position model. The record is from RNAcentral.